Non-coding RNA from Pelobates cultripes (western spadefoot toad), 210 nucleotides. The record is from the annotation of a GenBank genome assembly. NCBI's taxonomy places the organism in Eukaryota, Metazoa, Chordata, Amphibia, Anura, Pelobatidae.
AUCAUGUUCUACACCAGACCAGUGGAGCCAAACUGCAGCCCAUCAUCAUCCUCAUCUGGUUGUAAGUAGGCAAUCUAGUAUAUUAUUAGUGACACUAAUCUAUAAUUUACCUCACAUUAAAGGGACACUUAAAUCAUGCUGGCUUUUUAAUGUAAACACACACUGUGUGCAGCACUGGCGUUAGUUAAUAUGGCAGAUCAUAUGGGUGGG